GAUGAACGCUGGCGGCGUGCCUAAUACAUGCAAGUCGAGCGAACAGACGAGGAGCUUGCUCCUCUGACGUUAGCGGCGGACGGGUGAGUAACACGUGGAUAACCUACCUAUAAGACUGGGAUAACUUCGGGAAACCGGAGCUAAUACCGGAUAAUAUAUUGAACCGCAUGGUUCAAUAGUGAAAGACGGUUUUGCUGUCACUUAUAGAUGGAUCCGCGCCGGAUUAGCUAGUUGGUAAGGUAACGGCUUACCAAGGCAACGAUGCGUAGCCGACCUGAGAGGGUGAUCGGCCACACUGGAACUGAGACACGGUCCAGACUCCUACGGGAGGCAGCAGUAGGGAAUCUUGCGCAAUGGGCGAAAGCCUGACGGAGCAACGCCGCGUGAGUGAUGAAGGUCUUCGGAUCGUAAAACUCUGUUAGUAGGGAAGAACAAAUGUGUAAGUAACUAUGCACGUCUUGACGGUACCUAAUCAGAAAGCCACGGCUAACUACGUG
This 497-nucleotide ribosomal RNA is filed under the name uncultured bacterium. RNAcentral's name for it is "partial 16S ribosomal RNA". It matches the Rfam family "Bacterial small subunit ribosomal RNA", at positions 28 to 507 of the family's 1533-position model. The record is from RNAcentral.